AGUGGCGAACGGGUGAGUAACACGUGGGCAACCUGCCCAAAAGGGGGGGAUAACACUUGGAAACAGGUGCUAAUACCGCAUAACCAUAGUUACCGCAUGGUAACUAUGUAAAAGGUGGCUAUGCUACCGCUUUUGGAUGGGCCCGCGGCGCAUUAGCUAGUUGGUGGGGUAAAGGCUUACCAAGGCAAUGAUGCGUAGCCGAACUGAGAGGUUGAUCGGCCACAUUGGGACUGAGACACGGCCCAAACUCCUACGGAAGGCAGCAG
RNAcentral lists this ribosomal RNA (266 nucleotides) under uncultured bacterium. Its description in RNAcentral is "partial 16S ribosomal RNA". It matches the Rfam family "Bacterial small subunit ribosomal RNA", at positions 94 to 354 of the family's 1533-position model. The record is from RNAcentral.